AAUUAGUUCUUCCUUACUCUUGCAAAGGAUUUUUCCUUUUCAGCACUGGGUAUCGAAGCUAGAGCCUUUAGCAUGCUGGACAAGCACUCUACCAUUGAGCCAUAACCUAGGCCCUUUUAUUUUUCUUUUUUGUUGUUGUUGUUGUUUUUGUCCUUUUAUUUUUCUUAUUUUGAGACAGAGUCUGGCUAAGUUACCCAGGUUAGCCUCAAACUUGUGAUCCACAAGGAAUUAAUUUUUAAUGUUAUUCUGCAAAAUUUAAUGAAAACAUCAAAAUACAACAAACCUGAUACCUUACACCUACAGACUACUUCUAAGUAAACUGUGAUCCUAUUUUUCGUAUAUUUAUCCCUCUUUUCAUAUUUUCCUAGUUCAUCUUUUCUUCAAUGUGAACUUCAGGGGCAAUGUUUGAGUUCCUCUCACCAGUUCUGUUCCUGUUCUCCUCAUUUUCUGACCAUGGACUUCACCAAGCUGAACCAAAGCUAUGCUCUGACUCUCCAGGGAGCUGAGCAGACUCAAAUCUUCAACCUUGAGAGUGAGUGUGACUGUCCUUAGGAAGAAACUGCAAAAUUGAAAGCCUCAACUGACCAUCCUAAAAAAGCAAGUAAGCCUCCAGAGGGUGGACACAGAUUACUCUUCACUUGACCAUUAGUCCUGUGGAAAGUGCACUAGGGGGCACCGCCCCUCAAAUGCCCCAGAAAGGUGGAGAGCCUGAGAAAAAUCUUAGAAAACAAGGUGGAUUUCACAUUUUCCUUCAUGUUCCAAUCACAUGUGUUUUGACAAGAUAUCAGGAACUAAUGUUCCCAUAUCAGAUGAUUCAAACAUAAGAACAAGUGCAAUGCCAUGGACUUGAAACAGGAAGAGGAUCCUCCAGCAAACAUAGAACACUGUUUCCCACAGUGAGCUGUGAGAAAUGUUAGUCCAGGGAACCAUUUUCAAGGAAAUGCCUUGCAACCAUUACUAUUUUCUUGGAAAUUCCUAAUGUCAAAGGCAACGAGAAGUCCCAUAGUAAAGCAACCUGACUACCCCAGCACUUCUCUUCCUAAUUGGAUCCUAGGCCCACUCUCCCCUUUUAUAAAGAAUACAUAUUAAUAUCUCACAACACUUAUUUCAGAAAACAUUGAACUAGACCAGUGCUGAAUCAAAGGAACUUCCCACACACAAGGUGUGUGGUCAUUCUGAGUGUAUCAUCCAUCCAGAAAGAAUUUGGAGAGAAAUCUCAGGCUGAAUAGAUCCUGAAAGCUUCCAUGCUUCCUCAUCAGGCAUCAUGUGCACUGCAUCCACUCCAGCCUGCUUAGCAGGCCCCGGGGCUGGCCUUGAAUGCUAGCCCUGUACCCCCACGCAGGUCUCAGGCUUUUUACCUUCCAGUGCACACAAAUACCAGCCAAGGGAAGAAAUUAAAAAUUGGGGCAACUGCCACAUUUCAAAUAUUCCCUCUCCAGUAACCUAAGAAAAAAAUCAAUGACUGUGUCUGUGAGAGACUGUUAAAGUUUGGCUUGUUGGCCGUGGUGGGCAGUCAGUAACUGUAACUGCCCUUCAGGGCCACACCAAGUGGAAAUUUCACCAAGUUGGGUUUUUAGGAACCCUAUCAGCAAUCCCAGGAUCGGGUCUUAUAUCUAACAAAUUAUAUUUUACAUUUUUUAAGAGCAAGUUACUGACAACUAGGCUGAUCCCUCUGCAAUUAGAAUCUGAUGUCAGAGUGAGAAAAUCCUCUGCUAACUGGGAACUCCCAUGUCACUCAUUCUGUAUUAAUGAUAUUUAUUCUCUAUCGUUGUUCCAUUCUGAAAAAAAUGGGUCCCCUGGUUCCAAUGUUAUGUUAAGCAUAUUACAUGUUACUCCAAAGUCAGUUCAUAUAUUACAGCUCGUUACACUCCUGGGUAUACAUUUCUGAAUAGCUCUCACUCCACAGUUACAGCUCCACGUUAAAUAUGGGCUGCCAUGAGUGCAGCCUCAGAGAGUUGUCUGUUCUAUUCCCGGCUUCUUGUUUUCCCUUGGAGUUUUCCCCCCUUCUGCUGCAUACUUCUUAGGGAAGAUGUGCCCUGCAGUAAGAAAAGUCUACCUGGGGAAGGUGAAAAGUGUUUCUCUAGAGUUCUCUGGAAGGGAGGUUAGCAGUGGCAGCUGUUUGCAUGCAUGUAGCUUUCUGUGGGGACCAGCUACAACUCGGUAUGUGAGUGGGAGGCUAGUGGUGGGUGCCGGGAACUAUCUGUACCAUUGACAAAAAGCCACAGUAUUUUUCCUCUGGCAGUAUUAACGUUAGAAUGAGUUUUUGUCCUCUACAGCCAUGAAGUUUGCACUGCCUUGGCUAGCACAUUCCUGAGCCUCUGUGUCAUACCAUCAAGAGACAGUUUUGGGAAUUUCACAGGAUAUCAUCUUUUUAGUCACUUUAGUGGAGCCUACCAUGACAACACAUUUUUAUUUCCAUUUGCUGCAGAGUCCAAGCUCUUAACAAGCCACCAGCUUCUUUCUUUGCUUCAUUCAUUCAACAUACACUAUGAAAAGGGUUAUGUGAGGCUCAGGAAUACAACAAUGAACCAGGAAACUCCAAAGUGCUCAACAUGUGAGGUCUGUGGUCUUGGGCACAGUUCUCACAAAGCUCGUGCCAGUGACCCACCUGUCUGGUGUGGCUCUUCUGAGCCAUAAACAGGCAAAACAGAUGGCCUGCAUGGCAUACUCAAGGUGGCAUAUGCAGUGAUUCUCCUGGGCCCCAAAGGCUCUCAAAAGGUGGACAAGUCAAGUGCCACUUUUCUUCUGUGCAUCUUUGGCUGGUUCUGAUUUCCUCCUUACACUUUCAAUUAUCUGAGCCAUUGCCCAACACAGUGUGAUGAGCCCCAGGCACCUCUCUUUUUCAAGAUAAGGGGAGAUCUUCAGACAAAAAGUGACUGAAAUGGGACCAGGACACAGAGCCCCUGGAGCCCUGUGCUGUCUCCCUUGGCUACAAAGCUGAAUGCUUGAGGCUCUUGACAAAUGAGAAUCAGAUUGUAUCCAAAAUACAUCUCAACCUCUUGGGGCUGUCUGUAGCCAUAUAAGGAACUGGUUAGGAGCUAUUUAUCAGAGAGUUUCUUGAGGGCAGAGAGAACCUGCAGGGCACUUCGAUUAGCUGAGCAGCCCCAGCUCUGAUGUGCCUGCAGCUGUCACCAUGAGAAGGUAUCAGCGAUUCGAAAGGCACCACGGCUGCAAUUUCCUAUGCAAGAGCUGCAGUGGAUCCAUUUUUCUAUCCCCAACUCCUUUGAACAUCUUUGCCAAUAUUUGUUUAGAGUCUUGCAUUUUGGAAAAUAUCAGAGUCCAAACAUAGAAAAACUAUUGACAUGUAGGUGUUUUAAUGAAAGCGUCAAAUAUGACUGCCUGAUGAUCAUGGCACCUCAGCCAAAAGUGAAUCAAAAAGGUCAUGUAGGGAAUCCACCUGCUUUUCCUACAUGAUCCAAAUAAGAACAGAGAAUCUGAGUCAUGACACCUGUUCCAGGCCAUAAUUCCUGUGCCUUUCUCACCUGUAAUUGUAUCCACAGACAACUCCAAACCCAAGGGGCUCUACAUAUAGCUCCCUCCCAUAGCAAGUCCUCUAGUUUCCUUUUGAGUCUCAGCAGGAAGCAUUUUCCUACGUGUAGAUUUUCAGGACUCAUGUACAUUUGCCUUAAAAAAUAUCUCUAGAUGUCUUUUUGUUCUGAAAGCUGUAAUGAUGUACUUAAAAAACACACUGAAUUUUUGAAAACCAAAAGCUCCACUUAUCCCACAGCCAGUUUUCUGCCAUACAGAAGACAACUAAACUAAGGUUGGCAGUAUUUAUUUCAACUUUAUCUCUCCAAGCUGCUCAUACACCUCUCUUAUGAAAGGUGUGAAUACUGAAAUCAGACUUGAUUUCCUCUGUCAUGUGUAAGAAGCUUUCUCAAAACUUCUCCCUGUGACAGUCCUCAGAACUUUACAUUUUACUAUUCUUCUGUAUUAUUCCUACCAGAUUAUGAACUUAUUUAUCUUUGCAUUUUCAAAGUUUAGUACAAUAUUUAUGUUACUGGUGGUCAGCAAACAUUGAGUAGAAGGGAAGAGGGAGGAAGAAGGAAGAGGGAAGUAUUCAGAAUCCUAAAGUGUUUCCUCCCAGGCCGACUCAGGUGAUACCUGGAGCCCCUGGGUUACAUGGCUGAACCUUUUACACAGUGUAGUUUGGUAGAUUGAAUUGAAAAUGUUUCAUCAGGCAUGUCUGGAGCCAGUUUAAAGUAGUUACUUCUUGAAAAUUCUCUCCAAGUAUGAGUGGGAAAAAAAUCAAGACUAAUUUGAGAAUCCUGGGAAAUCUCAACUCCUUCACUAUUUCCCCUAUACUUCAUCCAUAAGCAUAUCCUACUGUAAAUCAAAGACUUCUGGAACCAGGAGACAAAUAAGUAGUCUAGAAGGCUGACAACAAGCUAUUCCCCCCAAAUAAGAAAACAAUUCUAAAUACAGUAGCAUCAAAAAUAGUAAAACACUUGAAAAUAAACUUACCCAAGGAGGUAAAAGAUAUAUACACUGAAAACUAGGAAAAAAAAUGAUGAAAGAAAUUUAAGAAAACAAAAAUAAAGGAAAGACAUCCUAUGUUCAUGAAUUAGGAGACUCAAUAUUAUUAAGAUGUCUAUGCUACCCAAUAUAAUCUACAAAUUCAUGUAAUCUCUAUCAAAAUCCUAAUGGCAUUUUUAUGUAAGUAGAAAAUAUAAUCCUAAAACUCAUAUAAAACUACAAAGGACUCCAAAUAAUCAAAACAAUCUUGAGAAUGUAUAAUACUGACAUAAAGACAGACACAAUAAAGCAAGCGAACAGAAUAGAGAUGCAGAAAUAUAACUAUAAAUACACAAAUGGUUAGCUAAUCUUCUACAAGGAUGCUAAGUAAACACAAUAGGGAAAGGAUAAUUUCCUCAACAAAUGUUAUUGGAAAACAGGGUAUCUAUAAGUAAAGGAUUGAAAUUGGAUCAUUUCCUUGUAUCAUAUAUUCUAAAAUUAUCUCAAAGUGAAUUAAAGACUUAGAAUUAUAAAAAUCCUAGAAGAAAACAUGUGAGAAAACCUUAUGAUAUUGGACUUUACAAUGAUUUAUUGGAUAGGACUCCAAAAGAAUAAGCAGAAAUAAACAAGGACGACUACACCAAAUGGAAAGGCUUCUGUAUAACAAAGGAAAUGACAGAAUGAAAAGAAAACCCAUAGAAUGGGGAAAAUAUGUGCAAACCAUAUAUCUGAUAAGGGAUUCAUAUCUAAAAUAUAUAAGGAACAUCUACAACUUAAUAGCACACCACCAAAAGAUCUAAUUAAGAAUUGAAAAGACGUGAAUAGAGCGUUUCUCCUAAGAAGACAUACAAAUUCCCAACUAAUGGUACAUCACUAAUCAUCAGGUUAGUACAACUCAAACCACAAUGAGAGAUCGUCACAUACCUGUGAAGAUAGGCGCUGGAAAAAAACAAGUUUUGAUGUGGGUAUGAAAAAAUUUAGAACUUAUACACUGUUGGUGGGAAUGUAAUAUUGUGUAGCCACUAGAAAAAGUUUGGAAGAGGUUAUUCAAAAAUUAAAAAUAGAAUUAUGUAUAUAUAUAUUAUAUGGUGGGAGAUAUAUAUAUGUCCUUUCUGUAUAUCAAUUGAAACCAGGAUCGGGCCGGGAUUUAGCUCAGUGGCUCCACCGCCAUCCUCGAAAGCGCUAGGUCCCGAGUUCGAUCCCCGUACCAAAAAUAAAGAAAGAAAGAAAGAAACCAGGAUCUCCUGAGCUGCAGAGUACACUGAACUCAUGUGGGGAACAUACAGAAAUGAUUGCUCCCCCUAACACAUUCUAAUUUAAUUGGUAAGGACUAUGACUGGGCAUUGAACUUCUAAUGUUCGGGAUAAUGUGGGAACCUUUGUCAUGGGCUAUUCAAGGCCUUCUCCAGUGCCUAGCACAUAGUACACUCAAUGUACGUCUGUGCUAAGUUUUCUCUCCACAUGCUUUUCUGGCCCAUUGGGCACUUAAUCCUUAAAUUCUUAGGUUGGCAACAAUUCAAAAGCAAACAGAAAUUACUUACCUAGCUAAUACGAGCCCCCAAUUCAUUUCUAAUGAAUUUUCCAAAGCAACAGAAAGGAGUUAGGAAGCACAGGCCAAUGUUAAAUUCUGGCUGGUUUGCCUCCCUCUUGGAGGAGAACAUGCCUCACUGCUCCCUCCCGCUUUUCUGUUUCUUCUCUCCAGCAGCCAUGUGUUGACACGACUUGUUGCUACAAAUUGAUCCCAAGGCAGGGCCUACCUUCUUGGGAAGAAAAGCUGAGGCCCUGAAAGGAAG
Long non-coding RNA from Heterocephalus glaber (naked mole-rat), 6247 nucleotides. The record is from Ensembl. NCBI's taxonomy places the organism in Eukaryota, Metazoa, Chordata, Mammalia, Rodentia, Bathyergidae.